Molecule: ribosomal RNA, 474 nt
Filed under: uncultured bacterium
Lineage: Bacteria
Description: SSU rRNA
Rfam family: Bacterial small subunit ribosomal RNA
Source: RNAcentral
AGGACGAACGCUGGCGGCGUGCUUAACACAUGCAAGUCGAGCGGAAAGGCCCUUCGGGGUACUCGAGCGGCGAACGGGUGAGUAACACGUGAGUAAUCUGCCCCUAGCUCUGGGAUAGCUCCGGGAAACCGGGAUUAAUACCGGAUACGACCACCUUAGACAUCUUUUGUGGUGGAAAGAAUUUCGGCUAGGGAUGAGCUCGCGGCCUAUCAGCUUGUUGGUGGGGUAACGGCCUACCAAGGCGACGACGGGUAGCCGGCCUGAGAGGGCGACCGGCCACACUGGGACUGAGACACGGCCCAGACUCCUACGGGAGGCAGCAGUGGGGAAUAUUGCGCAAUGGGCGAAAGCCUGACGCAGCGACGCCGCGUGGGGGAUGAAGGCCUUCGGGUUGUAAACCCCUUUCAGCAGUGACGAAGCGAAAGUGACGGUACCUGCAGAAGAAGCGCCGGCUAACUACGUGCCAGCAGCCGC